This 255-nucleotide ribosomal RNA is filed under the name uncultured bacterium. Its description in RNAcentral is "partial 16S ribosomal RNA". It matches the Rfam family "Bacterial small subunit ribosomal RNA", at positions 524 to 776 of the family's 1533-position model. The record is from RNAcentral.
UACGUAGGGGGCGAGCGUUGUCCGGAGUUACGUGGGCGUAAAGGGCAUGCAGGCGGUCGGACGCGUUUUGUGUGACAGCGGGUGGCUCAACUACCCGAAGCAUGCGAAAGACGGUCGGACUUGAGGACUCGAGAGGGACACGGAAUUCCGGGUGGAGUGGUGAAAUGCGUAGAGAUCCGGAGGAACACCGAAGGCGAAGGCAGUGUCCUGGCGAGUGACUGACGCUGAGGUGCGAAAGCCAGGGGAGCGAACGGG